Molecule: ribosomal RNA, 1343 nt
Filed under: uncultured bacterium
Lineage: Bacteria
Description: 16S ribosomal RNA
Rfam family: Bacterial small subunit ribosomal RNA
Source: RNAcentral
GACGAACGUUGGCGGCGUGCUUAACACAUGCAAGUCGAACGGAAAGGCCCUGCUUUUGUGGGGUGCCCGAGUGGCGAACGGGUGAGUAACACGUGAGUAACCUGCCCUUGACUUUGGGACAACUUCAGGAAACUGGGGCUAAUACCGGAUAGGAGCUCCUGCUGCAUGGUGGGGGUUGGAAAGUUUCGGCGGUUGGGGAUGGACUCGCGGCUUAUCAGCUUGUUGGUGGGGUAGUGGCUUACCAAGGCUUUGACGGGUAGCCGGCCUGAGAGGGUGACCGGCCACAUUGGGACUGAGAUACGGCCCAGACUCCUACGGGAGGCAGCAGUGGGGAAUAUUGCACAAUGGGCGGAAGCCUGAUGCAGCAACGCCGCGUGCGGGAUGACGGCCUUCGGGUUGUAAACCGCUUUCGCCUGUGACGAAGCGUGAGUGACGGUAAUGGGUAAAGAAGCACCGGCUAACUACGUGCCAGCAGCCGCGGUGAUACGUAGGGUGCGAGCGUUGUCCGGAUUUAUUGGGCGUAAAGGGCUCGUAGGUGGUUGAUCGCGUCGGAAGUGUAAUCUUGGGGCUUAACCCUGAGCGUGCUUUCGAUACGGGUUGACUUGAGGAAGGUAGGGGAGAAUGGAAUUCCUGGUGGAGCGGUGGAAUGCGCAGAUAUCAGGAGGAACACCAGUGGCGAAGGCGGUUCUCUGGGCCUUUCCUGACGCUGAGGAGCGAAAGCGUGGGGAGCGAACAGGCUUAGAUACCCUGGUAGUCCACGCUGUAAACGGUGGGUACUAGGUGUGGGGUCCAUUCCACGGGUUCCGUGCCGUAGCUAACGCUUUAAGUACCCCGCCUGGGGAGUACGGCCGCAAGGCUAAAACUCAAAGGAAUUGACGGGGCCCCGCACAAGCGGCGGAGCAUGCGGAUUAAUUCGAUGCAACGCGUAGAACCUUACCUGGGUUUGACAUGGAUCGGGAGUGCUCAGAGAUGGGUGUGCCUCUUUUGGGGUCGGUUCACAGGUGGUGCAUGGCUGUCGUCAGCUCGUGUCGUGAGAUGUUGGGUUAAGUCCCGCAACGAGCGCAACCCUUGUUCACUGUUGCCAGCACGUUAUGGUGGGGACUCAGUGGAGACCGCCGGGGUCAACUCGGAGGAAGGUGGGGAUGACGUCAAGUCAUCAUGCCCCUUAUGUCCAGGGCUUCACGCAUGCUACAAUGGCUGGUACAGAGAGUGGCGAGCCUGUGAGGGUGAGCGAAUCUCGGAAAGCCGGUCUCAGUUCGGAUUGGGGUCUGCAACUCGACCUCAUGAAGUCGGAGUCGCUAGUAAUCGCAGAUCAGCAACGCUGCGGUGAAUACGUUCCCGGG